AUUAGAUACCCUGGGUAGUCCACGCUGUAAACGAUGAUUACUAGGUGUUGGGGGACCAAGGUCCUUCGGUGCCGUCGCAAACGCAUUAAGUAAUCCACCUGGGGAGUACGUUCGCAAGAAUGAAACUCAAAGGAAUUGACGGGGGCCCGCACAAGCGGAGGAACAUGUGGUUUAAUUCGAUGAUACGCGAGGAACCUUACCCGGGCUUAAAUUGCACCUGAAUAAUGUGGAAACAUGUUAGCCGUAAGGCAGGUGUGAAGGUGCUGCAUGGUUGUCGUCAGCUCGUGCCGUGAGGUGUCGGCUUAAGUGCCAUAACGAGCGCAACCCUUAUCUUCAGUUACUAACAGGUCAUGCUGAGGACUCUGGAGAGACUGCCGUCGUAAGAUGUGAGGAAGGUGGGGAUGACGUCAAAUCAGCACGGCCCUUACGUCCGGGGCUACACACGUGUUACAAUGGCAGGUACAGCGGGAAGCCACCUGGCGACAGGGCGCGGAACCCGAAAACCUGUCUCAGUUCGGAUUGGAGUCUGCAACCCGACUCCAUGAAGCUGGAUUCGCUAGUAAUCGCGCAUCAGCCACGGCGCGGUGAAUACGUUCCCGGGCCUUGUACACACCGCCCGUCAAGCCAUGGAAGCCGGGAGUGCCUGAAGUGCGUGACCGCAAGGAGCGCCCUAGAGCGAAAUCGGUGACUGGGGCUAAGUCGUAACAAGGUAGC
RNAcentral lists this ribosomal RNA (714 nucleotides) under uncultured bacterium. RNAcentral describes it as "bacterial SSU rRNA". It matches the Rfam family "Bacterial small subunit ribosomal RNA", at positions 777 to 1500 of the family's 1533-position model. The record is from RNAcentral.